This 829-nucleotide ribosomal RNA is filed under the name Pseudomonas aeruginosa. Its description in RNAcentral is "partial 23S ribosomal RNA". It matches the Rfam family "Bacterial large subunit ribosomal RNA", at positions 356 to 1192 of the family's 2925-position model. Lineage: Bacteria; Pseudomonadati; Pseudomonadota; Gammaproteobacteria; Pseudomonadales; Pseudomonadaceae. The record is from RNAcentral.
CAUAGUGGGUGAUAGCCCCGUACGCGAAAGGAUCUUUGAAGUGAAAUCGAGUAGGACGGAGCACGAGAAACUUUGUCUGAACAUGGGGGGACCAUCCUCCAAGGCUAAAUACUACUGACUGACCGAUAGUGAACCAGUACCGUGAGGGAAAGGCGAAAAGAACCCCGGAGAGGGGAGUGAAAUAGAACCUGAAACCGUAUGCGUACAAGCAGUGGGAGCCUACUUGUUAGGUGACUGCGUACCUUUUGUAUAAUGGGUCAGCGACUUAUAUUCAGUGGCAAGCUUAACCGUAUAGGGUAGGCGUAGCGAAAGCGAGUCUUAAUAGGGCGUUUAGUCGCUGGGUAUAGACCCGAAACCGGGCGAUCUAUCCAUGAGCAGGUUGAAGGUUAGGUAACACUGACUGGAGGACCGAACCCACUCCCGUUGAAAAGGUAGGGGAUGACUUGUGGAUCGGAGUGAAAGGCUAAUCAAGCUCGGAGAUAGCUGGUUCUCCUCGAAAGCUAUUUAGGUAGCGCCUCAUGUAUCACUCUGGGGGGUAGAGCACUGUUUCGGCUAGGGGGUCAUCCCGACUUACCAAACCGAUGCAAACUCCGAAUACCCAGAAGUGCCGAGCAUGGGAGACACACGGCGGGUGCUAACGUCCGUCGUGAAAAGGGAAACAACCCAGACCGCCAGCUAAGGUCCCAAAGUUGUGGUUAAGUGGUAAACGAUGUGGGAAGGCUUAGACAGCUAGGAGGUUGGCUUAGAAGCAGCCAUCCUUUAAAGAAAGCGUAAUAGCUCACUAGUCGAGUCGGCCUGCGCGGAAGAUGUAACGGGGCUCAAACCACAC